AAGCUCCAAGGGUUGUUCUUCGAUAUCAUGAAAAUCGCAUUUCCAGAUACUGAUUUCCGAGAAGCAAGAAAUGCCGUCACAUUCUCCAGCCACGGAGCCUCUUCGACCGGUCCAUCCUCCAAGUCUUCGCGCCAGCUACCCUCCAGACAGGCCGAGCCAGAGCCUGCACGGACAACUCUGAAGCCCCAGAAGGAAAUUACUCCCGCCAGCCGGAGCACCCGUGACCAUUUCCCGCCAGAGCGCUCACCCCAGCUCGGAGACCUUGUCAUCUGCAA
Molecule: unclassified non-coding RNA, 275 nt
Filed under: Hevea brasiliensis (rubber tree)
Lineage: Eukaryota; Viridiplantae; Streptophyta; Magnoliopsida; Malpighiales; Euphorbiaceae
Source: RNAcentral